Molecule: transfer RNA, 76 nt
Filed under: Firmicutes bacterium ADurb.Bin193
Lineage: Bacteria; Bacillati; Bacillota
Also listed under: 3 other names
Description: tRNA-Val
Rfam family: tRNA
About the family: Transfer RNA (tRNA) molecules are approximately 80 nucleotides in length. Their secondary structure includes four short double-helical elements and three loops (D, anti-codon, and T loops). Further hydrogen bonds mediate the characteristic L-shaped molecular structure. tRNAs have two regions of fundamental functional importance: the anti-codon, which is responsible for specific mRNA codon recognition, and the 3' end, to which the tRNAs corresponding amino acid is attached (by aminoacyl-tRNA synthetases). tRNAs cope with the degeneracy of the genetic code in two manners: having more than one tRNA (with a specific anti-codon) for a particular amino acid; and 'wobble' base-pairing, i.e. permitting non-standard base-pairing at the 3rd anti-codon position.
Source: RNAcentral
GGGAGCAUAGCUCAGCUGGGAGAGCAUCUGCCUUACAAGCAGAGGGUCAUAGGUUCGAUCCCUAUUGCUCCCACCA